This 86-nucleotide small nucleolar RNA is filed under the name Rhinocladiella mackenziei CBS 650.93. RNAcentral describes it as "A. fimigatus snoRNA Afu_199". It matches the Rfam family "A. fimigatus snoRNA Afu_199". The record is from Rfam by way of RNAcentral. Lineage: Eukaryota; Fungi; Ascomycota; Eurotiomycetes; Chaetothyriales; Herpotrichiellaceae.
UACCAUGAUGAGACACAUUUGAUUAGCUCUAGAUCAAGAGCUGCUUUUCGUAGCGAUGAGCGACAUUUGCAUGUAUUACCUGACUU